RNAcentral lists this ribosomal RNA (505 nucleotides) under uncultured bacterium. RNAcentral describes it as "partial 16S ribosomal RNA". It matches the Rfam family "Bacterial small subunit ribosomal RNA", at positions 28 to 507 of the family's 1533-position model. The record is from RNAcentral.
GACGAACGCUGGCGGCGUGCCUAAUACAUGCAAGUAGAACGCACAGUUUAUACCGUAGCUUGCUACACCAUAGACUGUGAGUUGCGAACGGGUGAGUAACGCGUAGGUAACCUGCCUGGUAGCGGGGGAUAACUAUUGGAAACGAUAGCUAAUACCGCAUAAUAUUAAUUAUUGCAUGAUAAUUAAUUGAAAGGUGCAAUUGCACCACUACCAGAUGGACCUGCGUUGUAUUAGCUAGUAGGUGAGGUAACGGCUCACCUAGGCGACGAUACAUAGCCGACCUGAGAGGGUGAUCGGCCACACUGGGACUGAGACACGGCCCAGACUCCUACGGGAGGCAGCAGUAGGGAAUCUUCGGCAAUGGACGAAAGUCUGACCGAGCGACGCCGCGUGAGUGAAGAAGGUUUUCGGAUCGUAAAGCUCUGUUGUAAGAGAAGAACGGGUGUGAGAGUGGAAAGUUCACACUGUGACGGUAUCUUACCAGAAAGGGACGGCUAACUACGUG